GAUGAAGAACGCAGUGAAAUGCGAUAAGUAAUGUGAAUUGCGGAAUUCAGUGAAUCAUCGAAUCUUUGAACGCACAUUGCGCCCGCCAGUAUUCUGGCGGGCAUGCCUGUUCGAGCGUCAUUUCAACCAUCAAGCCCCCGGCUUGUGUUGGGGACCUGCGGCUGCCGCAGGCCCUGAAAUGCAGUGGCGGGCUCGCUGUCACUCCGAGCGUAGUAGUUACAUCUCGCUCUGGGCGUGCUGCGGGUUCCGGCCGUUAAAAGCCUUAUUUACCCAAGGUUGACCUCGGAUCAGGUAGGAAGACCCGCUGAACUUAAGCAUAUCAAUAAGCGGAGGA
RNAcentral lists this unclassified non-coding RNA (334 nucleotides) under soil metagenome. Its description in RNAcentral is "partial contains 5.8S ribosomal RNA, internal transcribed spacer 2, and large subunit ribosomal RNA". The stretch from base 1 to 120 matches the Rfam family "5.8S ribosomal RNA", at positions 35 to 154 of the family's 154-position model. The record is from RNAcentral.